This 984-nucleotide ribosomal RNA is filed under the name Triticum aestivum (bread wheat). RNAcentral's name for it is "partial small subunit ribosomal RNA". Lineage: Eukaryota; Viridiplantae; Streptophyta; Magnoliopsida; Poales; Poaceae. The record is from RNAcentral.
AUGUGCCCACUACGACAGGCGACAACCGCACCUAGUUUAGGGAGAGAUUCCUUGGCAGAUGCUGCCGCCGCUCUGACUUCGCUUCUGGUCUUAUCCUUCCUCCUUGCUGCUCCUCCCCCUCCAAGCCCAUCAUUUCAUCUCCAUCGCGACGCCGUCUAUCACCACCAUAGUCGUGCCGCGGCUCGAUCUGCUGCUCCUGAGCGCAGCCACCUCGUCCCCGACGCCGAGCUCCUUCUCCCUGCCUUCUUUUCCCCGUCAUCUCUGUGUUCUCUUCUUCUCUUUUUCUCCUGUUUACUCACAUCUCCCUCUAUCUCUCUUGCUCUCUGUUACAGAGGCCGCCAUGGACGCCCGAGGUCCUCCGCUCCGAGUCUCCGACCCACACCCCGGCGUCCCUGCCGACGUCGUCGCCUAGGAAGACCACCAUGCCCGCUGCAGGAGCUUCGAGCCGACCCCGCAGCAUGUAGACCGCCGCCACCCGUCCGCCGUCGGGAAUCACCAGAUCCCCCCGUAUCCGACCUGCCUCGCCAUCCUUCUCCCGUUCCCGACGUCUCCUCAGCGCCAGAAUCUCAGGCGAGCGACACCACAAGACCCUGCCUCCUCUGCCCCGGAGGCCGCCAUGGAGGUCAUCGCCUCUCCGUCUCGAUCCGUCCACCGUCGGAUCCUUGCUGGUGUUCUCCAGGGACCCGCCAUGGAGGUUGCCGCCCCUCCCGUCUCGAUCCUUCCGCACCCGGAUCCACGGCAGAGCAGCCGAGAUCCGUCGCCUGUUCUGCGACGCCUUGGCCCGCCAAGGCAAGCGCAGAGGCUGACAAGGCGCACAGGAAGGCCAAUGGCCUCGCCAAGCAGCGGGAGGACUUGCGGGCUAGGGUCGCCAGCCGCAAGCUCGUGCGAGCUCGCCCCCAUGCUGGCCAAGGCCACCUUCGGCGACCUCCUGUCCGCUGUGCACUAACGCCCGCCACGACGCCAGGGUCUUUUUUGCAAAAAUGA